RNAcentral lists this long non-coding RNA (448 nucleotides) under Felis catus (domestic cat). RNAcentral's name for it is "lncRNA (ENSFCAG00000047539.1)". Lineage: Eukaryota; Metazoa; Chordata; Mammalia; Carnivora; Felidae. The record is from RNAcentral.
ACAGUCAGAAUUAUCUUUCUUACAUAGACUGUGAGGCAGAUGGUUUCAUUGUUCUCCAAAUUCCAUUAUAGAUUUCUCUGUUAGUAAAAGAGGUUUAACUGUCUGUCUGCUCAGAUAGACAGAAUAGUCCUCAACUUCCUUGGAAACUAGUGAUAAUUAAUAGACACAUACUAUUGCUUCAGACUAGGAGAUGCAACAAUGGGCUAAUUAACCAUGUGGGACAUCACUCUGACAGCUGACCUGACAAAUGGGGGAAUAAGAUAUUGAAUGUACAACUGAGGGACAACUCCAGGACAUCUUGCAUUGUUGGAGUCUUCUUCUGCAGGAUGCAACUAGUCACUGUAUCAAUGAUCAGAAUAUGAUGCAAUAUCACAAGAAUAUACAGGUCUGCAAACAAAAGGCAGAAGAUGCCUUCAGGUACAGAAGUAAAGAAAGACUAUAAACCGCU